CCAGACUCCUACGGGAGGCAGCAGUGGGGAAUAUUGCACAAUGGGGGAAACCCUGAUGCAGCGACGCCGCGUGAGCGAUGAAGUAUUUCGGUAUGUAAAGCUCUAUCAGCAGGGAAGAAGAUGACGGUACCUGACUAAGAAGCCCCGGCUAACUACGUGCCAGCAGCCGCGGUAAUACGUAGGGGGCAAGCGUUAUCCGGAAUUACUGGGUGUAAAGGGAGCGUAGACGGUAAUGCAAGUCUGGAGUGAAAGGCGGGGGCCCAACCCCCGGACUGCUCUGGAAACUGUGUAAUUGGAGUGCAGGAGAGGCAGGCGGAAUUCCUAGUGUAGCGGUGAAAUGCGUAGAUAUUAGGAGGAACACCAGUGGCGAAGGCGGAUGACUGGACGACAACUGACGGUGAGGCGCGAAAGCGUGGGGAGCAAACAGGAUUAGAUACCCCAGUAGU
Molecule: ribosomal RNA, 446 nt
Filed under: uncultured bacterium
Lineage: Bacteria
Description: bacterial SSU rRNA
Rfam family: Bacterial small subunit ribosomal RNA
Source: RNAcentral